CGUGUAGGCGGAUAGUUAAGUCGGAUGUAAAAGUCCAUGGCUCAACCAUGGUUUGUCAUCUGAAACUGGCUAUCUUGAGUUCGAGAGAGGAUAGUGGAAUUCCAGGAGUAGCGGUGAAAUGCGUAGAUAUCUGGAAGAACACCUGAUGCGAAGGCGGCUAUCUGGCUCGCAACUGACGCUGAGGCGCGAAAGCGUGGGGAGCAAACAGGAUUAGAUACCCUGGUAGUCC
This 229-nucleotide ribosomal RNA is filed under the name uncultured bacterium. RNAcentral's name for it is "partial 16S ribosomal RNA". It matches the Rfam family "Bacterial small subunit ribosomal RNA", at positions 568 to 796 of the family's 1533-position model. The record is from RNAcentral.